GCCUUCAGUCAUACACCCUGAACCUGCCCAAUCUCAUCUGACCUCGGAAGCUAAGUGGGGUUGGACCCGGUUAGUACUUGGAUGGGAGACAGUGGGUGUAUAAAUACCGCAGCUC
Ursus americanus (American black bear) is the source of this 115-nucleotide ribosomal RNA. NCBI's taxonomy places the organism in Eukaryota, Metazoa, Chordata, Mammalia, Carnivora, Ursidae. The record is from Ensembl.